Molecule: ribosomal RNA, 846 nt
Filed under: uncultured bacterium
Lineage: Bacteria
Description: bacterial SSU rRNA
Rfam family: Bacterial small subunit ribosomal RNA
Source: RNAcentral
GAGUGGUGAAGGGGUGAGUAAUAUAUCGGAACGUGCCCAGUCGUGGGGGAGAACGUAACGAAAGUUACGCUAAUACCGCAUACGAUCUACGGAUGAAAGCGGGGGACUCGCAAGAGCCUCGCGCGAUUGGAGCGGCCGAUAUCAGAUUAGGUAGUUGGUGGGGUAAAGGCUCACCAAGCCAACGAUCUGUAGCUGGUCUGAGAGGACGACCAGCCACACUGGAACUGAGACACGGUCCAGACUCCUACGGGAGGCAGCAGUGGGGAAUUUUGGACAAUGGACGCAAGUCUGAUCCAGCCAUUCCGCGUGCAGGAUGAAGGCCCUCGGGUUGUAAACUGCUUUUGUACGGAACGAAAAGGUUUCUAUUAAUACUAGGAGCUCAUGACGGUACCGUAAGAAUAAGCACCGGCUAACUACGUGCCAGCAGCCGCGGUAAUACGUAGGGUGCAAGCGUUAAUCGGAAUUACUGGGCGUAAAGCGUGCGCAGGCGGUUAUAUAAGACAGAUGUGAAAUCCCCGGGCUCAACCUGGGAACUGCAUUUGUGACUGUAUAGCUAGAGUACGGUAGAGGGGGAUGGAAUUCCGCGUGUAGCAGUGAAAUGCGUAGAUAUGCGGAGGAACACCGAUGGCGAAGGCAAUCCCCUGGACCUGUACUGACGCUCAUGCACGAAAGCGUGGGGAGCAAACAGGAUUAGAUACCCUGGUAGUCCACGCCCUAAACGAUGUCAACUGGUUGUUGGGUCUUCACUGACUCAGUAACAAAGCUAACGCGUGAAGUUGACCGCCUGGGGAGUACGGCCGCAAGGUUGAAACUCAAGGAAUUGACGGGGACCCGCACAAGCGGUGG